RNAcentral lists this ribosomal RNA (440 nucleotides) under uncultured bacterium. Its description in RNAcentral is "partial 16S ribosomal RNA". It matches the Rfam family "Bacterial small subunit ribosomal RNA", at positions 338 to 795 of the family's 1533-position model. The record is from RNAcentral.
CCUACGGGAGGCAGCAGUGGGGAAUAUUGCACAAUGGGGGAAACCCUGAUGCAGCGACGCCGCGUGAGUGAAGAAGUAAUUCGUUAUGUAAAGCUCUAUCAGCAGGGAAGAAAAUGACGGUACCUGAGUAAGAAGCCCCGGCUAACUACGUGCCUGCAGCCGCGGUAAUACGUAGGGGGCAAGCGUUAUGCGGAUUUACUGGGUGGAAAGGGAGCGUAGACGGCAGUGCAAGUCUGGAGUGAAAGGCGGGGGCUCAACCCCCGGACUGCUCUGGAAACUGUACGGCUGGAGUGCAGGAGAGGUAAGUGGAAUUCCUAGUGUAGCGGUGAAAUGCGUAGAUAUUAGGAGGAACACCAGUGGCGAAGGCGGCUUACUGGACUGUAACUGACGUUGAGGCUCGAAAGCGUGGGGAGCAAACAGGAUUAGAUACCCUAGUAGUC